GGCAGGCAGAGUAUGGCACACACAGGCAGCACACUGCCUGCCCUAUGCUGCCUGUGUGUGCCAUACUCUGCCUGCU
Xenopus tropicalis (tropical clawed frog) is the source of this 76-nucleotide non-coding RNA. Lineage: Eukaryota; Metazoa; Chordata; Amphibia; Anura; Pipidae. The record is from Rfam.